Molecule: long non-coding RNA, 483 nt
Filed under: Equus caballus (horse)
Lineage: Eukaryota; Metazoa; Chordata; Mammalia; Perissodactyla; Equidae
Description: lncRNA (ENSECAG00000055441.1)
Source: RNAcentral
UUGGUCAGAUGAAGAUAAUGAUGUAAGUAUAUAAAAUAUCCGUAUUAUUGUUAAUAAUAUUAGGAGAGCCCUACAUGGUGGAGCUAGGUCCCCUCCUCAAGGACUUUCUGCCCAGCUGUGAGGAGUGUGGUCAACAGACAGCCUCCAGCAGCCAGCUCUUUGGAGCUGAUCUCAGCUGCUGAGAGCCGCUUGCCUGAGGUCACACGUUUUCCGGGAUGGCCUGCGUUCAGUGACUGAGCAAGGGGGAUAAAAAGGCCAGCCACCUCAGCCAACACAGGACACUGCUGACUGGAAACCCUCGCUCCACAGUUCCCCGCUGGGUCCACGGAGGCUUGCCAGCCAUAGAGUUGUCCUCUGCUGCCAUGAACCCUGGUGUUCCAGAUCCCUGCACAGAUUUCCAGCGCCUCACUCUUAGGACCCCAGGGAACUGCUGUUUGCCUUCACUCACAUACUCUGACAAAGGACCAGUGCUGCGCCAGGGAC